UGUCGCCUUCAUUUCCGCGUUAUUUCCCAGCGUUCCUAUGGAUUAGAGGAGCUCUUCUUGAAGCUUAUCGACAACUUUUUCACUUGCAUAUCAUGCUAUUACCAUUCUAAUGGUGCUCCCGGGGAGGACAUAUAGCCGCAAGCGUCGAUAACUUGACUAGAUUAUGUUGAAUCUCGUUGGAAACUGUGAAUUUAGCGGAUUCAGAAAUUGUUAGGCUGGUCCGGCUAACGUUAGUUAGGAAGCUAUCACUUGGGCCGGCGGUGUUUGUACUGAAUAAAACCAUGGCAGAUGCGAACGGUGGAGACAGGACGGACGAAAAAGAGUUGAAGGGGGCAACAGGUGGUGAAGAUGUCAUGGAUGAUGUGAUCAUUGAACAGAGUGCUGUUUUACUGAGAGGGUAUGUUAUUGAACGAGUUACUGUAGAGGAUCCAUCCAUGCAUGUGAGCCAUGAGGAUCUAGGAGGAAGACCUCAGGAUGCAGAUGAUCCUCAAAUCAAAGAGGUUGUAGAUCAGCUUUUGAAGAUAGCCGAUGACCUUAACAAGAAUGCUGAACUUCAACAUCUCAUCAGCACUGUGCAAGCAAAUUGUGCUCAGGACGUCUUCGUGACUGUGGCCAGAAGCAUCUUUGAGGAUGGAAUUAACUGGGGACGUGUGGUGGCUCUGUUUCACCUCGCGUACAGACUCAUUUACCAGGCUCUGACUCAGAACCACUUUGACAUUAUCAGGAGGAUCAUUAGCUGGGUUUUACAGUUUAUCAGGGAAAACAUUUCUGCCUGGAUCAGACAGCAAGGAGGAUGGUACCGACAGGAAUUGUUGGUGGGGGAGUGAAUGAACAGUGCUCUUUUCCACCCUCAGUACCCAUAACUGAGGGGCCCUUGAGCAAGGCACCUAACCUCCCCGGGCGCCACAGCAAAAAUGGCUACCCACUGCUCCAGGAGGGCAUUUUCCGCAGCGUGUCAAGAUGGCGUACUGUGUCUUGCAUCGCUGCGAUGGCAUUCAUUGUAGCUGUUGUUUACUGGAGAAGAACGCGCUAAUAUAAGUGAAAUAUGUGCCAGAUUGAUUUUUCUCACAAAUGUGCAAACUCGUAUCAAAAUGCAAUACAGUGUGUGUAAGUGGUGCAAUCAUGUGGACCAAUCACAGUCAUGCUUCAUGCCUUGCUAUGGUUAAAGACUUAAACAGAAACAGCCUCUCCAAAAGACACUGUAGCCUUUUAGAUUUUUUUUUUAAACAUUCCCUGUCGGCUGUUGUUGGGUCUUUUGCUUCUAUUUCAGCUGAGUCCAUCUUUCGCCUUGAUUUAUUUAUUUAAGGGAUGUGUUGCUGUACUCCAAGAUUUUUAAGACACUGCACUUUUUCUCCACCAGUGCCUUUUACUCUGUGACUUCUUUCUGGCUCAGGUAUCAAUUUUUUAAUGUGCCACAUAACAUACCAGCCCUACCUCGAAUUAGCUAAAUAUCUGAGGCUAACUGUUUACCAGAUGUUUUUUAAAUGAUUAUAUUAGGAAUAAGGGACAGGGCUGAAAAAGAAAAAAUUUUAACCUUUUUUUAAGAACGGUUAACCUCAACAGAGGUUUAAAAUGCAGUUUAAGUGGUGGAAAUGACCGAAAGGUUUAGCAUGUUAUUGGUGAAAUACAGUGAAUGUGGAAAAUAAUCCUUGCACACCUUAAAAUAAACAUGACAAUGAAUUAC
Molecule: RNA transcript, 1684 nt
Organism: Onychostoma macrolepis
Lineage: Eukaryota; Metazoa; Chordata; Actinopteri; Cypriniformes; Cyprinidae
Exons: 7
Source: RefSeq, a predicted model, not a curated record